Molecule: ribosomal RNA, 253 nt
Filed under: uncultured bacterium
Lineage: Bacteria
Description: partial 16S ribosomal RNA
Rfam family: Bacterial small subunit ribosomal RNA
Source: RNAcentral
UACGGAGGAGGCAAGCGUUAUCCGGAAUUAUUGGGCGGAAAGCGUCCGUAGGUGGUUGGCCAAGUCUGCUGUCAAAGGGUGGGGCUUAACCCCAUAAAGGCAGUGGAAACUGGCGAGCUAGAGGGCGGUAGGGGUAGGGGGAAUUCCCAGUGUAGCGGUGAAAUGCGUAGAGAUUGGGAAGAACAUCGGUGGCGAAAGCGCCCUGCUGGGCCUGCACUGACACUGAGGGACGAAAGCUAGGGGAGCGAAAGGG